This 248-nucleotide ribosomal RNA is filed under the name uncultured Oscillospiraceae bacterium. RNAcentral describes it as "partial 16S ribosomal RNA". It matches the Rfam family "Bacterial small subunit ribosomal RNA", at positions 524 to 771 of the family's 1533-position model. The record is from RNAcentral. Lineage: Bacteria; Bacillati; Bacillota; Clostridia; Eubacteriales; Oscillospiraceae.
UACGUAGGUGGCAAGCGUUAUCCGGAAUUAUUGGGUGUAAAGGGUGCGUAGGCGGGAUGUAAAGUCAGAUGUGAAAUACGUGGGCUCAACCCACGAACUGCAUUUGAAACUUACGUUCUUGAGUCAAGUAGAGGCAAGCGGAAUUCCCAGUGUAGCGGUGAAAUGCGUAGAUAUUGGGAGGAACACCAGUGGCGAAGGCGGCUUGCUGGGCUUGAACUGACGCUGAGGCACGAAAGUGUGGGGAGCAA